Molecule: ribosomal RNA, 420 nt
Filed under: uncultured bacterium
Lineage: Bacteria
Description: bacterial SSU rRNA
Rfam family: Bacterial small subunit ribosomal RNA
Source: RNAcentral
AAGGAAUAUUGGUCAAUGGACGGAAGUCUGAACCAGCCAUCCCGCGUGCAGGAUGAAGGUCCUAUGGAUUGUAAACUGCUUUUAGCAGAGAAGAAAAGCAUUCAUUUAUGAGUGUCUGACGGUAUCUGCAGAAUAAGCACCGGCUAACUCCGUGCCAGCAGCCGCGGUAAUACGGAGGGUGCAAGCGUUAUCCGGAAUCACUGGGUUUAAAGGGUGCGUAGGCGGAAUAUUAAGUCAGUGGUGAAAGCCUGUCGCUUAACGAUAGAACUGCCAUUGAUACUGAUAUUCUUGAAUUGGGUUGAGGUUAGCGGAAUGUGACAUGUAGCGGUGAAAUGCAUAGAUAUGUCAUGGAACACCAAUUGCGAAGGCAGCUAGCUGGGCCUUGAUUGACGCUGAGGCACGAAAGCGUGGGUAGCGAAC